RNAcentral lists this ribosomal RNA (506 nucleotides) under uncultured bacterium. Its description in RNAcentral is "partial 16S ribosomal RNA". It matches the Rfam family "Bacterial small subunit ribosomal RNA", at positions 29 to 523 of the family's 1533-position model. The record is from RNAcentral.
AGUGAACGCUGGCGGUAGGCCUAACACAUGCAAGUCGAACGGCAGCACAGAGGAGCUUGCUCCUUGGGUGGCGAGUGGCGGACGGGUGAGGAAUACAUCGGAAUCUACUCUGUCGUGGGGGAUAACGUAGGGAAACUUACGCUAAUACCGCAUACGACCUACGGGUGAAAGCAGGGGAUCUUCGGACCUUGCGCGAUUGCAUGAGCCGAUGUCGGAUUAGCUAUUUGGCGGGGUAAAGGCCCACCAAGGCGACGAGCCGUAGCUGGUCUGAGAGGAUGAUCAGCCACACUGGAAAUAAGAAACAGUCCAGACUCCUACGGGAGGCAGCAGUGGGGAAUAUUGGACAAUGGGCGCAAGCCUGAUCAAGCCAUACCGCGUGGGUGAAGAAGGCCUUCGGGUUGUAAAGCCCUUUUGUUGGGAAAGAAAUCCAUCUGGUUAAUACCCGGGUGGGAUGACGGUACCCAAAGAAUAAGCACCGGCUAACUUCGUGCCAGCCGCCGCCGUAA